GUAGUCCAUGCCGUAAACGAUGGGUACUAGACGUCGCGGGCCUUACCCCCGCGGUGUCGUCGCUAACGCAUUAAGUACCCCGCCUGGGAAGUACGGUCGCAAGAUUAAAACUCAAAGAAAUUGACGGGGGCCCGCACAAGCGGUGGAGUAUGUGGUUUAAUUCGACGCAACGCGAAAAACCUUACCUGGGCUUGACAUCCCACGCAUAGCCAUGAAAGUGGUGAAUUCUCGCAAGAGACGUGGUGACAGGUGCUGCAUGGCUGUCGUCAGCUCGUGUCGUGAGAUGUUGGGUUAAGUCCCGCAACGAGCGCAACCCUUGUUCUUAGUUGCCAGCAUUAAGUUGGGCACUCUAAGAAGACCGCUAGCCGACAAGGCAGA
This 378-nucleotide ribosomal RNA is filed under the name uncultured bacterium. RNAcentral's name for it is "bacterial SSU rRNA". It matches the Rfam family "Bacterial small subunit ribosomal RNA", at positions 790 to 1167 of the family's 1533-position model. The record is from RNAcentral.